AAAACUGUUACCAAAAAAAAAAUUUGUUCUUAUCAGUUUAAUAUCUGAUACGUCCCCUACCCUGGGACUGCAUAUUAAAUUGAUUUUUGGAUCACGGAGCUCGAGCCGGGGCUUGCUCUGUCCACUCCAUGCAUCGGCCUAGGUAGGGUUGCGAUUGUCUCUUGGAGGUUUCCUAGCUCGAGAUGUCUUAGGCCCGGUUUCACAAAC
Molecule: small nuclear RNA, 207 nt
Organism: Sinocyclocheilus anshuiensis
Lineage: Eukaryota; Metazoa; Chordata; Actinopteri; Cypriniformes; Cyprinidae
Gene: U2
Rfam family: U2 spliceosomal RNA
About the family: U2 is a small nuclear RNA (snRNA) component of the spliceosome (involved in pre-mRNA splicing). Complementary binding between U2 snRNA (in an area lying towards the 5' end but 3' to hairpin I) and the branchpoint sequence (BPS) of the intron results the bulging out of an unpaired adenosine, on the BPS, which initiates a nucleophilic attack at the intronic 5' splice site, thus starting the first of two transesterification reactions that mediate splicing.
Source: Ensembl